This 492-nucleotide ribosomal RNA is filed under the name uncultured bacterium. Its description in RNAcentral is "partial 16S ribosomal RNA". It matches the Rfam family "Bacterial small subunit ribosomal RNA", at positions 29 to 507 of the family's 1533-position model. The record is from RNAcentral.
AGUGAACGCUGGCGGUAGGCCUAACACAUGCAAGUCGAACGGCAGCACAGUAAGAGCUUGCUCUUACGGGUGGCGAGUGGCGUACGGGUGAGGAAUACAUCGGAAUCUACUUUUUCGUGGGGGAUAACGUAGGGAAACUUACGCUAAUACCGCAUACGACCUACGGGUGAAAGCAGGGGAUCUUCUGACCUUGCGCGAUUGAAUGAGCCGAUGUCGGAUUAGCUAGUUGGCGGGGUAAAGGCCCACCAAGGCGACGAUCCGUAGCUGGUCUGAGAGGAUGAUCAGCCAAAAUGGAACUGAGACACGGUCCAGACUCCUAAGGGAGGCAGCAGUGGGGAAUAUUGGAAAAUGGGCGCAAGCCUGAUCCAGCCAUACCGCGUGGGUGAAGAAGGCCUUCGGGUUGUAAAGCCCUUUUGUUGGGAAAGAAAAGCAGCAGGUUAAUACCCCGCUGUUCUGACGGUACCCAAAGAAUAAGCAACGGCUAACUUCGUG